GAUGAAGAACGUAGCGAAAUGCGAUAAGUAAUGCGAAUUGCAGAAUUCAGUGAGUCAUCGAAUCUUUGAACGCACAUUGCGCCCUGUGGUAUUCCGCAGGGCAUGCCUGUUCGAGCGUCAUUUCAACCCUCAAGCUCUGCUUGGUGUUGGGCCCUGCCCGCUGCGGCCGGCCCUAAAGACAGUGGCGGUGCCGCCUGGCCCUGAGCGUAGUACAUCUCUCGCUCCAGUGCCCGGUGGUAGCCUGCCAGAACCCCAACUCUCGUGGUUCACCUCGGAUCAGGUAGGGAUACCCGCUGAACUUAAGCAUAUCAAUAAGCGGAGGA
Molecule: unclassified non-coding RNA, 323 nt
Filed under: soil metagenome
Description: partial contains 5.8S ribosomal RNA, internal transcribed spacer 2, and large subunit ribosomal RNA
Rfam family: 5.8S ribosomal RNA (bases 1-120)
Source: RNAcentral